AACGAACGCUGGUGGCAUGCCUAAUACAUGCAAGUCGAACGCGAAAGCUCUUCGGAGUGAGUAAAGUGGCGCACGGGUGAGUAACGCGUAGGUGACAUACCUUCUAGUGGGGGACAACAUCGGGAAACCGGUGCUAAUACCGCAUAUUUUGUGUGACAUUAAAAAAGCACAACAAAGGGGACGUUCGGCUCUCGCUAGUCGAUUGGCCUGCGUUGCAUUAGCUUGUUGGUGGGGUAAAGGCCCACCAAGGCGACGAUCCGUAGCUGGUCUGAGAGGAUGAUCAGCCACACUGGAACUGAGACACGGUCCAGACUCCUACGGGA
RNAcentral lists this ribosomal RNA (323 nucleotides) under uncultured bacterium. Its description in RNAcentral is "bacterial SSU rRNA". It matches the Rfam family "Bacterial small subunit ribosomal RNA", at positions 29 to 346 of the family's 1533-position model. The record is from RNAcentral.